GAUGAACGCUGGCGGCGUGCCUAAUACAUGCCAGUCGAGCGAACAGACGAGGAGCUUGCUCCUCUGACGUUAGCGGCGGACGGGUGAGUAACACGUGGAUAACCUACCUAUAAGACUGGGAUAACUUCGGGAAACCGGAGCUAAUACCGGAUAAUAUAUUGAACCGCAUGGUUCAAUAGUGAAAGACGGUUUCGCUGUCACUUAUAGAUGGAUCCGCGCCGCAUUAGCUAGUUGGUAAGGUAACGGCUUACCAAGGCAACGAUGCGUAGCCGACCUGAGAGGGUGAUCGGCCACACUGGAACUGAGACACGGUCCAGACUCCUACGGGAGGCAGCAGUAGGGAAUCUUCCGCAAUGGGCGAAAGCCUGACGGAGCAACGCCGCGUGAGUGAUGAAGGUCUUCGGAUCGUAAAACUCUGUUAUUAGGGAAGAACAAAUGUGUAAGUAACUAUGCACGUCUUGACGGUACCUAAUCAGAAAGCCACGGCUAACUACGUG
RNAcentral lists this ribosomal RNA (497 nucleotides) under uncultured bacterium. Its description in RNAcentral is "partial 16S ribosomal RNA". It matches the Rfam family "Bacterial small subunit ribosomal RNA", at positions 28 to 507 of the family's 1533-position model. The record is from RNAcentral.